CUCACAAGAGGUAUCGGGAAAGUUUUUCGCUAUAGGAUGAGGCUGCGGCCUAUCAGCUAGUUGGGGAGGUAACGGCUCACCAAGGCUAUGACGGGUAGCUGGUCUGAGAGGAUGAUCAGCCACACUGGAACUGAGACACGGUCCAGACUCCUACGGGAGGCAGCAGUGGGGAAUUUUACACAAUGGGCGAAAGCCUGAUGUAGCAACGCCGCGUGGAGGAUGACGGAUUUAGGUCUGUAAACUCCUUUUAUAGGGGAAGAAAUUUGACGGUACCCUAUGAAUAAGCGCCGGCUAACUCCGUGCCAGCAGCCGCGGUAAUACGGGGGGCGCAAGCGUUACUCGGAAUCACUGGGCGUAAAGGGAGCGUAGGCGUUCUAUUAAGUCUCGAGUGAAAUCCCGCAGCCUAACUGCGGAACCGCUCGGGAAACUGAUAGAAUAGAGUAUGGAAGAGGUAGGUGGAAUUUCCAGUGUAGGGGUAAAAUCCGUAGAUAUUGGAAGGAAUACCAGAAGCGA
Molecule: ribosomal RNA, 513 nt
Filed under: uncultured Campylobacterota bacterium
Lineage: Bacteria; Pseudomonadati; Campylobacterota
Description: bacterial SSU rRNA
Rfam family: Bacterial small subunit ribosomal RNA
Source: RNAcentral